Molecule: ribosomal RNA, 484 nt
Filed under: uncultured bacterium
Lineage: Bacteria
Description: partial 16S ribosomal RNA
Rfam family: Bacterial small subunit ribosomal RNA
Source: RNAcentral
AUUGAACGCUGGCGGCAGGCCUAACACAUGCAAGUCGAGCGGAUGAAGGGAGCUUGCUCCUGGAUUCAGCGGCGGACGGGUGAGUAAUGCCUAGGAAUCUGCCUGGUAGUGGGGGAUAACGUCCGGAAACGGGCGCUAAUACCGCAUACGUCCUGAGGGAGAAAGUGGGGGAUCUUCGGACCUCACGCUAUCAGAUGAGCCUAGGUCGGAUUAGCUAGUUGGUGGGGUAAAGGCCUACCAAGGCGACGAUCCGUAACUGGUCUGAGAGGAUGAUCAGUCACACUGGAACUGAGACACGGUCCAGACUCCUACGGGAGGCAGCAGUGGGGAAUAUUGGACAAUGGGCGAAAGCCUGAUCCAGCCAUGCCGCGUGUGUGAAGAAGGUCUUCGGAUUGUAAAGCACUUUAAGUUGGGAGGAAGGGCAGUAAGUUAAUAUCUUGAUGUUUUGACGUUACCAACAGAAUAAGCACCGGCUAACUUCGUG